AGAUACCAUGUAGGGGAAAAAAAAGACACUAUCUGAUACCGAUAGAAUAGGAACUAAAGUUGUAUUAUUUAAAUUUACAAAAUAAUAACAUAAUGAUCAAUAGUUAGAAGAAUGAGAAAAAGAAAAGAAUCUAAAUGGCCUAAAUUCUGAAGCUUUAAGAUAAUGCCUGCCUGGCUCUGCCGGUAGAGGGUGCGACUCUUGAUCUCAGGGUUGUGAGUUCAAGUCCCACCGUGGGUGUAGAGAUUACUUAAAAAUACAAUCUUAAAAAAAAAAAAAUGCCCAACGCUUUUGAGUUUAGAGACAGAAGACAGACAAAUACCACACGGUGUCACUUAUGUGUGAAAUCCAAAAACAGACAAACUCAUAGAAACCGCAGGUAGAAAAGUGGUUGCCGGGGAUGAGGGGAGGGAGACAUUGGGAGAGGUUGGUAAAAGGGUACAACUUUCAGCUAGAAGAUGAAUGAGGUCUGAGGACCUAACAUACAAUAUGGUGACUACAGUUGAUAAUACCGUAUUGCAUAAAAUUAGUGGAGAGUAUGGAACUGAAGUUCUAUUCACCAAAACAACAACAACAACAACAACAACAACGACAACAACGAGAUAACUAUGUGGGGGUAAUGGAUGUGUUAUUAUUUUUUGAAUGUUUAUUUAUUUAUUUUUAUUUAAUUUUUUUAAUGUUUUAUUUAUUUUUGAGAGAGAGAGAGAAUCCAAAGACAGGCUCCAGGCUCUGAGCUAGUUGUCAGCACAGAGCCCGACACGGGGCUCGAACCCACGAACAGCGAGAUCAUGCGCUGAGCCUCCCAAGUCGGACACUCAACCGGCUGAGUCACCCAGAAUGGUGGCCUCAUAGUUCAAAGUCAUCUGCAGUGGCUAUACAUUCAUCUGGAUAACAAGCCCUCAGGCAAAACUCGGGCUUCAUCCAGCCCACAAAGCUCAGACUCUCUUCUCCGUGUUGAAUUGAUGCACAGACUUCACAGGUAUCUGGCCCUCUUCCCUGCUAAAGGAGACCCACAGUUCUUCCUCCUCCGGUAGUGUAACCCUGUUCUGCUGUUUCCAUGUCUCUUACAUUAGAAAGAUUCCCUAGGUUGGCUCCUCUCGCUCUCCCUCUCUGCAAUUUGAAUGAAACAAAGCCCAGCUCAUCCUCUGCUAAUU
Long non-coding RNA from Neofelis nebulosa (Clouded leopard), 1151 nucleotides. RefSeq lists it as uncharacterized. The record is from RefSeq and is a predicted model, not a curated record. Lineage: Eukaryota; Metazoa; Chordata; Mammalia; Carnivora; Felidae. The transcript has 3 exons.